Long non-coding RNA from Anthonomus grandis grandis, 813 nucleotides. RefSeq lists it as uncharacterized. The record is from RefSeq and is a predicted model, not a curated record. The transcript has 2 exons. Lineage: Eukaryota; Metazoa; Arthropoda; Insecta; Coleoptera; Curculionidae.
UAAGCAGUCACUUAAAACACAUGUAAUGCAUGAUAAUAGGGAGAUAAACAUGUGAGCAAAUAUUAAAUAUUUAACAGUAAUUUACUACUGUGGUCUCAAAAUAAUUAAUUAUUGGAUGAUAUAAAUGUCAAAGUGUUUUCUGAAUUAUUAGAUGUUUAGAUAAUUUUUUUUUAAAGUCAAUAUUGACUCACUGUUCCGGUUACUUUAAGACAAUGUAGUCACUUGCAGUCUACAAUCGCGUUCUCCUUGAUUUCUUAUUUAAAAUAUCACUUAGACAAUAAAUGGAAUAGAAUGAAUGUGUCUUAAGACCAACCCAAAGAAGUCAAUGGUAAAACGCAUGCAAUGAGGCACAAAAAACCAAAGCGGGCAUUCAAUAAAAUAAAAUACCAUAUGCCAAUAAGAAGGUGCUACCGAUGGACUGUCUACAUCUUGUAUGAUAACAGAAGGAAUUGCCUGAAUUCCUAUGGUGUUUGAAACAGCGGCAUACAUCAGCAAAGAAAAUGAAAACAGUGCUUCAGAGAGUAGAUAGAUGAUGACUUUCAAAUAGUAACUGUGCAACUUACGGCGCCUACAUAAAACUGUGCGGGCCUGUAUGUAGCUUGUCGGAGACCCUGAUAUCCAUGUUCCAGUUCAGUAUAAGACAUGACACCAUUGGAACAUACUAGAACUGUUAAAUUGCUUUUGUUAAGUUGCCUUUUGUCUGUAAAAAAGAGAACAUUUUUGGCAAAUAUUGAUUUGGGUGAAACGUUAAGACUUGCCUUGGCAAAAUCACUAGUAGAAAAUAAAGAGUUGGUGCUCUGUAUAACUAAAUAA